Molecule: ribosomal RNA, 491 nt
Filed under: uncultured bacterium
Lineage: Bacteria
Description: partial 16S ribosomal RNA
Rfam family: Bacterial small subunit ribosomal RNA
Source: RNAcentral
AGUGAACGCUGGCGGUAGGCCUAACACAUGCAAGUCGAACGGCAGCACAGUAAGAGCUUGCUCUUACGGGUGGCGAGUGGCGGACGGGUGAGGAAUACAUCGGAAUCUACUUUUUCGUGGGGGAUAACGUAGGGAAACUUACGCUAAUACCGCAUACGACCUACGGGUGAAAGCUGGGGAUCUUCGGACCUUGCGCGAUUGAAUGAGCCGAUGUCGGAUUAGCUAGUUGGCGGGGUAAAGGCCCACCAAGGCGACGAUCCGUAGCUGGUCUGAGAGGAUGAUCAGCCACACUGGAACUGAGACACGGUCCAGACUCCUACGGGAGGCAGCAGUGGGGAAUAUUGGACAAUGGGCGCAAGCCUGAUCCAGCCAUACCGCGUGGGUGAAGAAGGCCUUCGGGUUGUAAAGCCCUUUUGUUGGGAAAGAAAAGCAGCAGGUUAAUACCCCGCUGUUCUGACGGUACCCAAAGAAUAAGCACCGGCUAACUUCGU